Molecule: ribosomal RNA, 516 nt
Filed under: uncultured bacterium
Lineage: Bacteria
Description: bacterial SSU rRNA
Rfam family: Bacterial small subunit ribosomal RNA
Source: RNAcentral
AACUUAGCAGAGAUGCUUUGGUGGCCUUCGGGAACUCUGAGACAGGUGCUGCAUGGCUGUCGUCAGCUCGUGUUGUGAAAUGUUGGGUUAAGUCCCGCAACGAGCGCAACCCUUAUCCUUUGUUGCCAGCGGCUCGGCCGGGAACUCAAAGGAGACUGCCGGUGAUAAACCGGAGGAAGGUGGGGAUGACGUCAAGUCAUCAUGGCCCUUACGGCCAGGGCUACACACGUGCUACAAUGGCGCAUACAAAGAGAAGCGACCUCGCGAGAGCAAGCGGACCUCACAAAGUGCGUCGUAGUCCGGAUUGGAGUCUGCAACUCGACUCCAUGAAGUCGGAAUCGCUAGUAAUCGUAGAUCAGAAUGCUACGGUGAAUACGUUCCCGGGCCUUGUACACACCGCCCGUCACACCAUGGGAGUGGGUUGCAAAAGAAGUAGGUAGCUUAACCUUCGGGAGGGCGCUUACCACUUUGUGAUUCAUGACUGGGGUGAAGUCGUAACAAGGUAGGCGUAGCGAG